This 533-nucleotide long non-coding RNA is filed under the name Trifolium pratense (red clover). Its description in RNAcentral is "long non-coding RNA (TPRA_LNC011076)". Lineage: Eukaryota; Viridiplantae; Streptophyta; Magnoliopsida; Fabales; Fabaceae. The record is from RNAcentral.
UUUACAUUUACUUGAUAAACAAAACUAAAGGUGAAGGUUAAUGUGUAGUGAUUGAUCCCCUACAAUUUAAGGACUUGAGAGUCAAAGUAGAGAAGAAAAUCAAGCAAAUACAUCAUCGUCACUCACCGACUGACAUCGAUCUUUGCUAUCAAGAAUAGGAUGUCUGUUUGAAAAUCAAAAGAGAAAAAAAGUAGCAAUUGGAAAUUUAUAGUUGAAUUAUAUUGCAUAAUCAUAUCUGCACAAACUAUAUCUCUUCACUUUUAUCUACUUGGUUAUAUUUAUCAACCUGUACUAAACCUUAUGUUGUCUUUCAUGAAAAGGGAUGAGAGAUCUAUGUAACAGAUAUGUGUUCUACUAUGCCAUGGAAAGUGGGAAGGAGUUGUGGAAGAAGAAUGCUUAGGAGGGAGAAAUAAGAGUAAAGAAAGAAGAGUAUCAAAGGGUUUUAAGUGAGCCACGUAAUUCGCUGUAGUUUCACGAAUUGUCUUUCGCUAUAAUAAGCAUUUCCGUUAUUUUUUAACUAAUUUUUUGUAGUU